RNAcentral lists this transfer RNA (72 nucleotides) under Ocnus glacialis. RNAcentral describes it as "tRNA-Glu". Lineage: Eukaryota; Metazoa; Echinodermata; Holothuroidea; Dendrochirotida; Cucumariidae. The record is from RNAcentral.
GUUGUAAUAGUUUAACAAAAAUUAAGGUUUUUCAAGCCUCAGUCCCAAGUAUAAUAAUUCCUGGUUACAAUA